UCCCAUAGCGCCAUUUAUGGCCAUUAAGGCCAUGCCAAUUGUGGUGAUGUAGCAUUGCUAGAUUGAUCUGAAUGUUUGCUCUAGAAUAAAAUCAUCUUAAAAUUUGGAAACUUGAUGGGGUUGCAUUUUGAGUGGAAACAAGGAUGAACAUGGUAGCAAUUAAACAGUGUUUCAUGAUUUCCAAUAAGCAGCUUGUCAAGGGGUUGAGGAUGUAAUGCAAAAAGUGCUUUUAAUUUGUU
RNAcentral lists this long non-coding RNA (239 nucleotides) under Elaeis guineensis (African oil palm). RNAcentral's name for it is "long non-coding RNA (EGUI_LNC008115)". The record is from RNAcentral. Lineage: Eukaryota; Viridiplantae; Streptophyta; Magnoliopsida; Arecales; Arecaceae.